GAUGAACGCUGGCGGCGUGCCUAAUACAUGCAAGUCGAGCGAAUGGACGAGAAGCUUGCUUCUCUGAUGUUAUCGGCGGACGGGUGAGUAACACGUGGAUAACCUACCUAUAAGACUGGGAUAACUUCGGGAAACCGGAGCUAAUACCGGAUAAUAUUUUGAACCGCAUGGUUCAAAAGUGAAAGACGGUCUUGCUGUCACUUAUAGAUGGAUCCGCGCUGCAUUAGCUAGUUGGUAAGGUAACGGCUUACCAAGGCAACGAUGCAUAGCCGACCUGAGAGGGUGAUCGGCCACACUGGAACUGAGACACGGUCCAGACUCCUACGGGAGGCAGCAGUAGGGAAUCUUCCGCAAUGGGCGAAAGCCUGACGGAGCAACGCCGCGUGAGUGAUGAAGGUCUUCGGAUCGUAAAACUCUGUUAUUAGGGAAGAACAUAUGUGUAAGUAACUGUGCACAUCUUGACGGUACCUAAUCAGAAAGCCACGGCUAACUACGUG
This 497-nucleotide ribosomal RNA is filed under the name uncultured bacterium. RNAcentral's name for it is "partial 16S ribosomal RNA". It matches the Rfam family "Bacterial small subunit ribosomal RNA", at positions 28 to 507 of the family's 1533-position model. The record is from RNAcentral.